RNA transcript from Cebus imitator (Panamanian white-faced capuchin), 2005 nucleotides. It is a transcript of the gene named RNA polymerase III subunit D, with no coding region annotated. Lineage: Eukaryota; Metazoa; Chordata; Mammalia; Primates; Cebidae. The transcript is spliced from 9 exons. The record is from RefSeq and is a predicted model, not a curated record.
GGUUCUUGGGCGGGGUUCCUAGAGAGACAGCGUGUCGCGAGCCAAAGGCUCUCACCUGGGUGGUCUGGGGAGUCUUGCCACGUGGGAGGGGAGGAGCAGAGACGCCACUGGAGGACGCGCUGACUGGGGGACCGGAAGCCAAGUGGGUGGGGUUCCGCUAGGGUCCGCGUGUCAGUCCCCUCUGGUAAUUUCGUUGUCCGUUCUCUGCCAGGCAACAUGUCGGAAGGAAACGCCGCCGGCGAGCCCAGCACUCCGGGAGGGCCCCGACCCCUCCUGACCGGGGCCCGGGGGCUCAUCGGGCGGCGGCCGGCGCCCCCCCUCACCCCCGGCCGCCUUCCCUCCAUCCGUUCCAGGGACCUCACCCUCGGGGGAGUCAAGAAGAAAACCUUCACCCCAAAUAUCAUCAGUCGGAAGAUCAAGGAAGAGCCCAAGGAAGAAGUAACUGUCAAGAAGGAGAAGCGUGAGAGGGACAGAGACCGACAGCGAGAGGGGCAUGGACGAGGACGAGGCCGCCCAGAAGUGAUCCAGUCCCACUCCAUCUUUGAGCAGGGCCCAGCCGAAAUGAUGAAGAAAAAAGGAAACUGGGAUAAGACAGUGGAUGUGUCAGACAUGGGACCUUCUCAUAUCAUCAACAUCAAAAAAGAGAAGAGAGAGACAGACGAAGAAACGAAACAGAUCUUGCGCAUGCUGGAGAAGGACGAUUUCCUCGAUGACCCAGGGCUGAGGAACGACACUCGAAAUAUGCCUGUGCAGCUGCCGCUGGCUCACUCGGGAUGGCUUUUUAAGGAAGAAAAUGACGAACCAGAUGUUAAACCAUGGCUGACUGGCCCCAAGGAAGAGGACAUGGAGGUGGACAUACCUGCUGUGAAAGUGAAAGAGGAGCCUCGAGAUGAGGAGGAGGAGGCCAAGAUGAAGGCUCCUCCCAAAGCAGCCAGGAAGACCCCGGGCCUCCCGAAGGACAUAUCCGUGGCAGAGCUGCUCAGGGAGCUGAGCCUGACCAAGGAGGAGGAACUGCUGUUUCUCCAGCUGCCAGACACCCUCCCUGGCCAACCGCCCACCCAGGACAUCAAGCCCAUUAAGACAGAGGUACAGGGUGAGGAUGGCCAGAUGGUACUCAUCAAGCAGGAGAAGGACCGGGAAGCCAGACUGGCAGAGAAUGCUUGUACCCUGGCUGACCUGACAGAGGGUCAGGUUGGCAAGCUACUCAUCCGCAAGUCUGGAAGGGUGCAACUCCUCCUGGGCAAGGUGACUCUGGACGUGACCAUGGGAACCGCCUGCUCCUUCCUGCAGGAGCUGGUGUCCGUGGGCCUUGGAGACAGUAGGACAGGGGAGAUGACAGUCCUGGGACACGUGAAGCACAAACUUGUAUGUUCCCCUGAUUUUGAGUCUCUCUUGGAUCACAAACACCGGUAAAAUGAGCAGAUGGAGGAGGACGGCGCCUGUGCCCACGGCUGCUGCCUGCUCCAGACAUUUUGUUCUUGAAUCUGUGAGACCCAAAAGGGGCCCACUGAGCCUACCCACUCCAGCCUUUGGCAGCCAUUGUCCCAGAUUCCCCUGGGCUUCCUCCCACAGCAGCUGUCAAUGGCACAGUGACCUUCCUGCAGCAUGGAGUUGGCAUAUCUUUGCUGCUGGGGAUUUGGCCCUGCUAUUUAUUUUUAUAUUUAUGUCUUAAUCUCUUCCACUGAUGCAUCCUACCAAGGUAGGUGGGGAGGGUCUGUGGGAAGGGGCUGGCCUCUCCUGGGGGCUGUUGGGCUGCAGGGACAGAAGUGUCAGAACUGCAGCUUCUGCUGAUGCUCCGUCCCUCCUAGAAGCAACAUAAGAGAGGAAGCAAGGAUUGAGUCUGAGACUUAAGCACUUGGUCCCAGCUUGCCAGUUCCUGGUUCUGCGUCCUUGAACAAACUACCUAACCUUUCUGAGCCUCCUGUUCAUCAUCCGACACAAGCAUGAGCAGGUUCUCCCUUUCUGACUGUAAGAUACAUGAGCUGGUACAGAUGGUGGAUUCUCU